GCUCAGGAUGAACGCUGGCGGCGUGCUUAACACAUGCAAGUCGAACGAUGAAGCCCUUUCGGGGGUGGAUUAGUGGCGAACGGGUGAGUAACACGUGAGCAACCUGCCCUUGACUCUGGGAUAAGCCUGGGAAACUGGGUCUAAUACCGGAUAGGACUCCUCAUCGCAUGGUGGGGGGUGGAAAGCCUUGUGCGGUCUUGGAUGGGCUCGCGGCCUAUCAGCUUGUUGGUGGGGUGAUGGCCUACCAAGGCGACGACGGGUAGCCGGCCUGAGAGGGUGACCGGCCACACUGGGACUGAGACACGGCCCAGACUCCUACGGGAGGCAGCAGUGGGGAAUAUUGCACAAUGGGCGGAAGCCUGAUGCAGCGACGCCGCGUGGGGGAUGACGGCCUUCGGGUUGUAAACCCCUUUCAGCAGGGAAGAAGGGUGACUGACGGUACCUGCAGAAGAAGCGCCGGCUAACUACGUGCCAGCAGCCGCGGUAAUACGUAGGGCGCGAGCGUUAUCCGGAAUUAUUGGGCGUAAAGAGCUCGUAGGCGGCUUGUCGCGUCUGCUGUGAAAGCCCGGGGCUCAACCCCGGGUCUGCAGUGGGUACGGGCAGGCUGGAGUGCAGUAGGGGAGACUGGAAUUCCUGGUGUAGCGGUGAAAUGCGCAGAUAUCAGGAGGAACACCGAUGGCGAAGGCAGGUCUCUGGGCUGUAACUGACGCUGAGGAGCGAAAGCAUGGGGAGCGAACAGGAUUAGAUACCCUGGUAGUCCAUGCCGUAAACGUUGGGCACUAGGUGUGGGGGCCAUUCCACGGUUUCCGCGCCGCAGCUAACGCAUUAAGUGCCCCGCCUGGGGAGUACGGCCGCAAGGCUAAAACUCAAAGGAAUUGACGGGGGCCCGCACAAGCGGCGGAGCAUGCGGAUUAAUUCGAUGCAACGCGAAGAACCUUACCAAGGCUUGACAUGUGCCGGACCGUCCCAGAGAUGGGGCUUCCCUUCGGGGCCGGUUCACAGGUGGUGCAUGGUUGUCGUCAGCUCGUGUCGUGAGAUGUUGGGUUAAGUCCCGCAACGAGCGCAACCCUCGUUCCAUGUUGCCAGCACGUAGUGGUGGGGACUCAUGGAGGACUGCCGGGGUCAAUUCGAAGGAAGGUGGGGACGACGUCAAAUCAUCUUGCCCCUUUAUGUCUUGGGCUUCACGCAUGCUACAAUGGCCGGUACAAAGGGUUGCGAUACUGUGAGGUGGAGCCAAUCCCAGAAAGCCGGUCUCAGUUCGGAUUGGGGUCUGCAACUCGACCCCAUGAAGUCGGAGUCGCUAGUAAUCGC
This 1311-nucleotide ribosomal RNA is filed under the name Sinomonas mesophila. RNAcentral's name for it is "bacterial SSU rRNA". It matches the Rfam family "Bacterial small subunit ribosomal RNA", at positions 22 to 1345 of the family's 1533-position model. The record is from RNAcentral. Lineage: Bacteria; Bacillati; Actinomycetota; Actinomycetes; Micrococcales; Micrococcaceae.